CUGUGAUGCAUGCACACUUUACCUUUUCUAAAUUCAUGUCUGUGUGAUUAUGCAGAUAGAAAGAAGGUGAAAGGUCAGGCUCUGUGGGAGAGGAAUGGAUUCUGGUUGGGAGGUGGCACCGGAUGAGUUUUGGGUAGAGAGGACGCCACAGAGAUGUCCUCUCUGAAACCCCAGCUGGAGGAGCUCGGGGUCCCUCUGUACGCUGUGGUGAAGAACGAUAGCAGCACAGAGGUCCAAGACUUCAGAUCCUACUUCAGUGCGGAGAUCUUUGUGGAUUGCAUAGGCAUACUUCUGGAACACACGAAGAAGAAAUUUGGAGAAAAACUGGUCAUUCUGACAUCCUGGAGGCUGCAAAGAAAAUAAGAGUCAAUAAAUGUGGAUAAUAUUUUAAAGAACUUCACAACUUUUAAAUUUCUUUCAAGUAAUGUCUUUUGAUGAACUAUAUAUUAAAAGCCAAGUGGCCUCUGUGUACACCUGUAGGUGGGUGAUUCUUAGACUACGGGCACUUAUGUCCUUUGAUCAUAUUGUAUGAAAAACAGAUAA
Long non-coding RNA from Thalassophryne amazonica, 543 nucleotides. RefSeq lists it as uncharacterized. NCBI's taxonomy places the organism in Eukaryota, Metazoa, Chordata, Actinopteri, Batrachoidiformes, Batrachoididae. The record is from RefSeq and is a predicted model, not a curated record. The transcript has 3 exons.